RNAcentral lists this unclassified non-coding RNA (419 nucleotides) under Imshaugia aleurites. Its description in RNAcentral is "external transcribed spacer 2". The record is from RNAcentral. Lineage: Eukaryota; Fungi; Ascomycota; Lecanoromycetes; Lecanorales; Parmeliaceae.
AUCGUAGAGUAGCCUUGUUGUUACGAUCGAUUGAGCCUAAGCCGGCCGUUGUCUUUGCUUGCACCCCAUUUAUUAUUCUAGCGAGUUCUAGGGUGUUUAAGGGGUUAUUUAGUUAAGAGGAUAGGGGAAUCAAAGGUGGUAAUUUUUCAAAAAUCACCAAAUGCAUAUAGAUUUGAACUUUCUAGGAGCCCAAAGGGAUGUGUAAAGCUCCGUUCAAAAGCGAAAUUUAGGGCCGUAAAUCUCACAGAGGAUUGCUGUUCAGUUUGUCAACUUCCUGGGCAUAACCCAAUGAAGUGUGAAACGGGUUCACUUAACAGAACAAGAAGCAUUGGAGCAAAUAAUGCCCGAAAACCCAAUUUAAUGAUAGAAAAUAUAAAAAUCGUUUCACUAAAUGUACAACAUGUCCAAUGACAAAGACA